RNAcentral lists this long non-coding RNA (1073 nucleotides) under Anser brachyrhynchus (Pink-footed goose). RNAcentral's name for it is "lncRNA (ENSABRG00000007180.1)". Lineage: Eukaryota; Metazoa; Chordata; Aves; Anseriformes; Anatidae. The record is from RNAcentral.
CUGCCUCCGCGCAACCUGACUCCGCGCACCGCUCAGCCCGAGCAUGUAAUGAGCUACAGAUGCUGCAGAUAGGAUAAUUAAAUACACCAAAAUAUUCGAGGGGCUCUCGGGUUGUGACAAAGCGACAGAGGCAGCGAACUUGCUGGGGGAUGCUGUCCUCCAUUCUGGGGGGGAGGCGAUGGAGCCAGCAGCUGCCUGGCCCUGGUGGCCAGGCGAGCUCUGCCGUGGCACAGAGCCCGUGCAAAUGCUCGAUUUAUUCGGUUUGAGUGUUGUCUUAAGUGAAGAAGACUCACUUUGGACUGCAAAAUGUUAUAAAAUAGUGCUUCCUAAGGAAAAUUUCUCAGGGAAGCCCCUCUCAGGAGCUCUGAGGGGAGCACGACGUGGCGAACACCAGGCAGUGCUGCCCCUUCCCUCCAGGCUGGCAUCGCCUCGCAGCACCGGCACGCUGCUCCAGGACAGGGCGAAGCCGCGAGGUGUCACUUCAUGCUUCCCAUGGACGUGCCACCAGGAGGACGCAGUCGUGGCUGGAAGCCAUCCCCGACAGCCCUGGGUCUGGGUUUCAAGCUGGCUGCGGUGGUGUGGGAAGAGCUGGAGGAACCUCACUCAGGAGGCGAGAGGAGCCGGGACGAGCAGCCUUCCCCUUCAAACGCAGCAGCCCGGGGCCCGUCCGAGUAUUUGGCUUAAAAGGGAUAAAUGGGAGCAUGGAGCCGAGCAGCGGGAUCAGCCCCUCAAUAGGAUUUCAUGCGUUUUCAAGUGAUAUCUGUCUUGAUUCGAAAAACAAAAAACAACGAAAAGACAACAACCAAAAACCUUCACAGUGCACAAAGUGAGAAAUGUGGCUUUAAUUUGGGCAACUAAUCGCUUCCAGCUGAACCAGCCAUUAAAAACAGUUGAAGAAUUACAAUGUAAAUAGAUUAAUGCAGACAAAGCAACAUGUGCACUAUUCCAUGUCUUCUUGUUACCUACAAAAUACUUCAGCAGUGACACACUGUUAGUCUAAGCCACUUGUUAGGUUCUGUGCUAAUCAGCUAAAAUUAAAUAAACAUGACUGAUAAAAACGAAUGUUGUGUUUG